This 13504-nucleotide long non-coding RNA is filed under the name Setaria viridis. Its description in RNAcentral is "long non-coding RNA (SVIR_LNC008463)". The record is from RNAcentral. Lineage: Eukaryota; Viridiplantae; Streptophyta; Magnoliopsida; Poales; Poaceae.
UUUCUUUCCUUUUUUUACUUGAACACACAGGAGAACUAUGUGCAUUGCAUUAAGAAGACGAAAGUGUUGAAAAUUUAUAGCAGAUUUUCGAUCAUCACAUUCGCGUCCUUGAAUAUGUGGAUACUACCAGACUACUUGACUCUAUGCUCUAGUUGCUACUAAAGCCACUAAGUCCUUAGCACUGACAAGACACCAUAGGUGAGCUUCUUUCUCAGGCUCUCAGCAACCUGUAAUAGGCGCUGGAGUGAAAGACCUAGACGCUAAACAGAAUGAACUCAUUUACAUAUGGCAACGAGUGAAGUAGGUAUAAAAUGAAUGUCCUACUUCAGUACCAACUUAAGUUCUGAUAAAAAUAAAGAUUGACUUGUGGAGAGCUAUAGCUUGUUGUACCUAUACUAUUUGGGGUGAAAAAAGGGACCAAACAAUUAUGAAAAUGAAACAACAUAUGUUGCUAUUUUCAAUUAGGAAAUGAUUGCAAAUAAUGAAGAUUAAUUAAGAAAAAACUUACAGUUCAGUUAGAUUAGCCCAGUUCCCAAUAUAAUCUGGUAUUUGCCCAGUAAAAUCAUUAUCUGAUGCCCACCUGAACACAAAGAACAAUAACAAAUAAGAUUGAGUGGCAUGGAACAGUACAGUCAACAAAACAUCUCUUAUAUGCAUACAAUGUUUUCAUUCUUGUAAGACUAGAAAGCGAUGAUGGUAAGGGACCACUUAAGCCAGCGCUAUCAAUAUACCUGCAAUUAAGAGAUGCAAAUAUAAGCACAGAAAUAAGAAGCCGACUAAUUCAAGCAAACAAUUCUACGAAAGAAAUAUAUAGUGCCCAAAACAAGUUAACACGCACAGCUGCUCAAGUUUAACCAAAUUCCCUAGUUCCAACCGAAGGGAACCAUUUAAGUUGUUUGAGCUAAAGGACCUGAAACCCACCAAAAAAAAUAUAGGUUAAUCACAAAAAAUGAGAAAUAUCUAUUCCUAGAAGCAUAAUUACUGGCAGAAAGCUACAUUUCUAGACAGUGGUUAAUCAGUUAAGGAAUGAAGAUGUUAAGUAGAAAUCUCUAACCUUUCCUAGGGAAAUACGGUGAUACAAGAUUAGUAAGGUUCCACAUUACAAAAAUUUAUUUCUUACAGCCAUACGAGAUUGGUAAGGUUCCCGAGCUCCUUUGGAACAGAUCCGGAUAAUGAAUUGAUGCCCAGAUCCCUGUGUAUUGGACAGAAUGAGAUGAUGUUCUGAUGUUAAGCAAAAACAUGUAAUGUAAUAACGGUUUAAGAUUUAAAUCUCACAUGUACUGCAUAGCAGUCAAUUUCCCGAGGAACGAUGGUAAAGGCCCUGUUAAGUAAUUUUGUCCUAAGUUCCUGAAACAACAUCAGAAAAGAUAUUAACAAAGAUUAAAGUUGGCUCAUCAUGUUUGAAUUUUGGUGUAAUGUUGGAAUACGGUGUUUCCAGAAUAUUACAAUUAUGCUGAACCUCUAGAAUAUCUUCAUAAAGAAAUAGGCAAUAGGCAUCAGCUAUUUACAAAGUCCCCCAAAAACCACAAUCCACAAGUAAAAGUCCUAUUGGACCCUUCAGGUACAAUGCAAGAAAGUUGAGAGUUCAUACAGAUUAGUCAAACGCGUGAGGUUCUGUAGUUCUGCCGGUAUCGCACCAACCGCAUUCAGCGCAUGUAUUUUCCUGCAAGCGAGCAAAGUCAAGUACAUGGACCGUCAGCUUACACUAUCUCAAUUUAACCAUCAUCAUCGCUGUUCGUCAGAUAUAAACACCAGCAGGAGGCGUAUGGAGCACCGCUGAAUCCUCUAGCUAGCACUUUUCAGAUACAGAGGUAACGACGUACUAGCACAGCGAGGCGGACGCAUCGCAUACCCAAAGGCUCGGUACAAACAGCGAAACCUCCGGCAGGCCAUCCGUCGAACACCUGCCGUGCGUAGCGGCAAGACGUGAGCUCUGAGUUGGCGACUUACAGCUUUGUGACGUGACAGACGGUGUUGUUCUGGCCGGAGCACUCGCACUUGAUGGCCGGGUUGAAGUUCGGGUCUGUGUCGAUGUUGGUGCCGUCCGUGGCGGCGCCGGUGCAGGGAUCGCCACUGAUGUUCCAUGCCGACGACGCCGUCUGGCCGAGCUUGGCGAACACCGCAUUCACCGCCGCCGCUGCAAAACCGAAAACGGGUUCACACUUCACACACAUCCCAAAGACCCAAACCAACGGCAACAACGACUACCCGCUCAUCGAUCGUCCGAUGGCCCGGUCCCGCGGCGAUCGGACGGCCACGGAUCAGGACCCACGCUGACAUGGCGGAGCCGACCAAGCCAAGUCUGAAUUUUAUGGUGGGCAAGCAAAAGGCGAAACACGAUAUCGAUGGAUUGAUCAUUGAUGCAAGCUGAUUUGAAACCCCCUCGCUAAUCUGAAAGAAAGAACUGGAGACAUGCACGCUCACCUUCAACCGGAUCGGUCCUUGUCCUCGCUUGCUGAGCUUGCGCAGAUGCAGCUAGAAGAAGCAGCAGCAGCAGCAACGUCGGGAGCGCAGCAGAGCCAUGGCGGCACGAACAGCUGGGUCCAGGCCUCCUCAUCUCCUUUCCCUCUCUCUGGCCUCGAGCUCGGGAUUGGCUACCCCUUCCGAGGGCGAGCGAGAUAUAUGGUGACCUGAUGGAGACUCUUAUGGCGACUAGCUUGUCUCAGGGCCCCGCCGCCGCGGCAGACACGUACAGCUCCCUCGACGCUGCGCCACCAUGCAAGGACGGCGCAACUAGGGAAUUUUCUAUGGUCAAGUGGCGCCACUGCUCUGUCGAAUGCGACGGGCCAACAAACUACCUCCAGGCUCCCACAUGGAAGCAGAGCCGAAGGCGAUCGACGACGACGGCUGACCGUGUUGUUCUGUGCGAGGAGACUUACAGGUGGGUGACGAGGCAGACAGUGUUGUUCUGGUAGGUGCAGUCGCACUUGAUGCCCGGGUUGAAGUUGGGGUUGUCAUCUAGAACGGUGCCGUCCGUAGCGGCGCCUGUGCAGGGGUCGCCGCUGAUGUUCCAUGCCGACGCCGCCGUCUGGCCGAGCUUGGCGAACACCGCGUUCACCGCCGCCGCUGCAACGAUAUCGAGUUGAAACCGUGAUCAGAUUCACAUGUGAUGGCGAAAAGGUAAGUCUAUUUACACCACCUAGCUUGGCCGUCUUUUAAUUUCUUCCAGGAGGAGGAACGUAUAAUUUUUUCAAGCGAAUGAGGAGGAAACAUCCUCACGUGAAAAGCAGUUUAUACUUUCAUAGGAGUACAUGAGAUGGAACCUACAAUCCCCUAGGAAAGCUGAUCGAUCAGGAACGAACAGCUCAUGGAAAGCUCUUUUUUUAGAGAAAGGAAUAAUAUCCGGCCUUAACAUUCACAAGUGAAUAACAUUCAUGGAAAGCUCUUAUGUUUCAGGAAUAGGAAACGAGGUGGGUAUACCUUCAGUUGGAUCUGUCCUUGUUCUUGGUGCCGCUCGUCGAGCUCCGGCAGAUGCAACUAGAAGAAGCUGCAGCACGGAGAGCACGAAACCUUGGAGACAAGAACUCGAUUUCAACCUCAUCUCCCUGACUCCCUCCUGCAUCUGCUCCCGCUAGCUUGGGCGCCGUCGCACUGCUAACGAUCUCCUAGCCUCAUAAGGAGUCUGUUUGUUUUUCCACGCGCAAUAAAUUUGCAACUGCCAUGAAAACAGUUGCACAUGAGUGGCUACAUACUUUUCAAAGCCUUCUCACACUUCUUCAGAACUAAAUAAAGCUCGUGCCGACAGAUAUUAGCCCAGAUCAUUCAUGACUGUCAUGUUCUAGAUUUACCCCGGAGAAUAAUGAAAUGUUUGCAAUGGACCAAUUCAAUGGAGUAACAAGGUCACACGUGCAUUGGACAUGGACAUAUACAUCAUGUCGAGUCUGAUAGUGUUUGGUUCGUUACCUUAGCACGUAAAUGUAAAGAGUGUAUUUGGCGGCGAAACGGGUGAUUAACCUCUUUGUUUGGUUGCAUUCUGGUAACGUAUUCAGAUUACGGUGUGGGUGUUGUAUUUGAUUACGAUGGAGGAGUAGGGGUAACAAGCUUGUAUAGAUAUUAUUUAGGUAAGGGAUUCGAUUAUAGCGUCAGUUGAUUACAAACCACCACAACCAACAUAUGUAAUGCAAUUCGUUACCUUCAUAUUACGUUACAUGUGAGCCAACCAAACACCACCUUUAUUUAUUUCAAGUUGCCUGCCUCGUUGUGAUGUGUGAACCAAUGAUGAGUUUACUCGCAGCACAUUUUGCUCACUAUUUUUUACAGUUUAAUUACCACUUCCCCUGUAGCUUAUUCACAACCAUGCUAUCAUAAACCUAAGAAAAUUAUGGGAGAUAUUUUUAUUUACAGUUUAGCACUUUCAUUAAAUAUUUUACAUAUAUUCAAUAAUGUGGCCAAAUCGUGUUUUCUACGAAGGCUUGUGAACUUGAUAUUACAAAUAUUAUAUAAUUCCCAGCAUACGCAUUACACUAAAGAUUUUACCAGAAGCGUGAUAUUGCUCCACCUCGAGUGCAGAGUGGGAGUGAACUUACACGUUCUAAAAUAUAAACAAUAUACUCUUGUUACACCGCUGGAGAGGAGGCAUCGCUGGAGUCGCACUCUGCCCUGUUGAGCACGCAUCAUCCCUCCACUCUGUACGGAUCUCUUUGGCGCAGCUCCUGCCGGCUCCGGCUCCAUAACUGUAGCGCACUAUAGCUCAUUGUAGCGCGUGCCGGAUUUGGAGCCGAGGGAGCAAUUGUUUCUAGCUUCACCGCUCCUUCUUCGUAACUGUAGUGCAAUGUAGCUCAUCGUAGUGCGUACCGAAUUUGAAAACGGGGGAGCAAAUUUUUCUAGAUUCACUGGCUCCUCCUCUUCUCCUUUUUAGCUUCAAUAUGGGUUUUGACUCUUUGCUACAUAACAGCACAACAGCGAUACAAGUAACGUGAUAGAGGAGACCAGAGCCGUGAGGGAGCGGUGCCAAAAGGGUCAUACGGGUGUCUUCCUCUAUUUUCUUUGCAACAAUCGAUCACAGCACAUAACCUAACACAAAAUAUGUGCAAAAGCUGAAUAUCCUGAGAACGUUUGUGACGUGCAUUUACAGAAAACUGUCCGUCAACUUGCAAAUCACCGUCCUUCUUCUCGAUGACGGAGCUAGCUAUGAACGGCGAAGAGGUGUGCGACGAAGCGGCCCUUGGGGCCAAGCUCGACUGCCCGCUCAUAUUGCUGCUCAUGAAGCUGCUGGUGUUGCCUCCCUUGAUCUGCCAUUCGGUGAUGUAGCUGGGCUUGUUCACCACCUCGCCCACCUCCACGUCGUCCCCGGCCAGCAUCGACACAGCCCGAGACAUGGACGGCCGCUGGUGGGGCGAGCCCUGGGUGCAGAGCAGGGCCACGUGGAUGGCACGGAGCACCUCGUUGCUGUUGAAGGCCAUGUUUAGUUACCCCAAAUUCCCAACUUUGGCACUAUGCAUAAAGAAGAUUCCCCAUCACAUCAAACUUGCGGUACAUGCAUGGAAUAUUAAAUGUAGACGAAAUCAAAAAUUAAUUGCACAGUUUUGUUGUACUUUGCGAGACGAAUCUUUUGAGCCUAAUUAGUCAAUGUUUGAACAAUAAUUCACAAAUACAAACGAAAUGCUACAGUUGCGCAUUUAUGGCAAAAUGCCAAUUUUGUCACUCCCAAAUUGGGAACUAAACAAGGCCGAAGUCAGCAAUACAGUUGCCAAACCUGAAAGCACAGAAAAUUGUCUAGAAAUGCUAAGAUGCCAGGCUAGCGUGACAUGUGUGUAGGGACGUUUCAUUUAACAAAUUAUAACCUCGUAGUAAUACCGUAGGGACGUUUCAUUUUACAAAUUAUAAUCUCGUAGUAAUACCGUAUCCCUCGGGAUUAAAAUUAUUGGUGAGUUGCAUGACAAUAACAAGUAUAUCGGUGAAUGAGUACUCUUUGUAAUUCUAAAUUUCAACUCUUGAGUUGGUUGCUCCAGUAAACAACCAUGUCUUUCUCUCACCUCCCCUUCUCUCACUCUAUAUUGUAAAAUAUCCUACGCAGCAUUAAGAUGGCUGACUUAGGUAUUUCUUUAAAAUAAGUAUAUUGGUGUCGUUUAACAGGUAGUCUUGUGCAUUGCUUGGUAAUCUUUGAGACAACCUAAUAGAUAACUGUAAAGCAUGGCUUGUCUUUUACUUAUGUCAUAAGUAUAGAAAAAGAAAUAUUGUGAGUUGCAUGGAAAUAACAAACUAGUAUAAUGAUGAGAGCGUGGUUCUAUAAUCCUAAAUUUUUACCUUAUGAGUUGGUUCUUUCGCGAACAGUCACUUCCUUCUUUCCCCUCCACAUCAUCAAAAAUUAUAUAUGGCGAGACGAGUGGCGUGGCGUGUAACAAUGUAGGCAUGGUUCCAUGCAUGUUGGACGAAGCAACGGUGUGUGUGGUAUUAGCAUGAUGAAGCACAUAGAAUUCCUGUUCUGUCGAGAAGGCAAAGCAGAGCGCUAUAUGGUGUUCGAGCUAAUCGCGAACAAACUGGACAUACCUUCAGUAGGAUCUGUCCUUGUCCUCUGUGCUUGCUGAGCUCCGGCAUGCAGAUACAAAGAGACGAAGCAGUAGCACCAAGAGCACGAAGCCAUGGAGACAAGAGCUCGGUUUCAACCUCAUCUCUCUCCUCUCUGCUCUAGCUUGGUUUGGUGGGAGAUAUAUUACACGAUGACCCAGCAUUUAGGAAUGGACAUUGUCUCAGCUGGGAAGGUUACAAGAAGCAACAGUUCUUUUUUUUUUUGAACAAACGGCACGGAUUGUGCCAUUUCUAUUAGAAGAGAUUUACAGGUAAAGCAACAGUUCUACAAAGUACACUAAAGUCAAGAAGAUGACGGAUGGUGACCCUGUUAGAAGAGUCAGAGCGGUUGCAAUCGUUGACGCCUUACAGGUUUUUUGACCUAUUCCUGACGCUUCAAUAUGGAAUAUCUUUUUUUUUCCUUAGAUGCACGAUAGAUCUCUGCAACUGUCUUGAAGACGACUUGCUCAUGGUUGGCAUUAUACAUUUUUCAAAGAUUUAGAGCAGCUAAGCACGGGCCAUUAUACAAUAGUCGAGUAGUUCUAAAUUUUGCCUGCCUACUUAGCUCUAGUGUGAAGUGCGAGAACAGUUUCAUGCACGCAUUGAAGUCGCACCUAAAUUUUCCUCAAAAAAGAAGAAGAAGAAAAGUUGAACAGAAAAGAUCCACGUGAAGCAACCAUCAAGCACAGCACAUAACCUAACACGAUAUUAUGUAGCAUUUACACACAAAAAAUGUACUAAUAAUUUUGCUACAUCUAACAUUCUAACGUGCCGUAAAUCUUGAAAACCAUAUAUGCACAUCCAAAUAGACAAGACCCUCCAACAUCAUCACCAUUUGAUUAUGCAUACAAAAAUUGGACUGCAGACGAUUCAAAAUCGAACAAAAAAUUUGCCUAAAAAGAAAAUCGGGCCGAAAAAGAUCUACACGGAAGCAACAAUCGGACACAGCACACCACCUAACACAAUAUAUGUGCAAAAGCUGACAAUCCCGAGACUGUUUGUAACGUGAAUUUACAAGGAACAAUCCGUCGAUCGCUUGACCGAACUUGCUAGUCAUCACCGGCCUUCUUCGAUGACAGAGGUCAGGUAUGGAGACGAUGUGUCUGACGAGGCUGCCCUCCGUGCCAAGCUCGACUGCCCGCUGACAUUGCUGCUCAUGAAGCUGCUUGUGUUGCCGCCCUUGAUCUGCCACUCAGUGAUGUAGCUGGGCUUGUUCACCACCUCACCCACCUCCACGUCUCCUGCCAGCAUCGACACAGCCCGGGACAUGGCCGGCCGCUGGUGGGGCGAGCCCUGGGUGCAGAGCAGGGCCACGUGGAUCGCACGGAGCACCUCGUCACUGUUGAAAUCAGCAAGCUUGGGGUCUAACAUGUCCAGUGGGUGGUUUUCCUCGUACAGUUGCCAGACCUGAAAUCAUAGAGAGAAGAUAAGCUGCCAGGUUGGAGUAGCUUGUCUCAGGCAAAUUCACUAAUUCGGAUAUAUAAUAUGUCUGCCAUGUUAGUCAAAAGAAGGGAAUUAAAAUGUGAUCAACCUCUUGUACUGCAAUAACAUCCGUCAUGCUGGCAUGCUGAAAUAGCACACUACUAUAUUCAGGUAGGAUAUAAACCUAAGUAUAGCACAAUUAGCAUUUUAUUUAUAGUUUAGCAAUUUUUCUGAAAUUUAGCCCACUACUGUAUUCAAGUAGUGUAUAAACCUAAGCAUAGUACUAGCAUUUUGUUUACAGGUCAGCAACUUCACGCAAUUUUUUCCUAACAGAAUGAUGUGGCAAACAGUGAUGUAAUGAAGGCUUGUGAACUCCAUUAUAAAUUCCUAGCAUAAACUUUACAGACGAUUUUACCAAUAGUACGGAGACUAGAGUGCAACAAUGCCUUGCCUCAAGUUUAGAGUUCAGAGUGAACUUACCCAUUCUAAAAUAUAAACCUUAUCUUCAUCAAGUGUAUUGUCAAAGUUUGGCCUUCCAGCUAAAGUCUCCAAAACAACCACGCCAAAUGCAAACACAUCAACUUUCUCCGUCAUAUGACCUCUCAUGGCAUACUCAGGUGCAAGAUAACCACUUCACAGAAUAUUUACAAGAAGUUUUAUAUUAGCUCACAUGUGAAAAAUAUUAACAUAAAGGGGGAAAGAUGGAAAUGUACUUACAAUGUACCAGCAACUUUUGUGCUGACAUGUGUCUUCUUGUCAUCAUAAAGUUUGGCGAGCCCAAAAUCGGAGAUCUUAGGGUUAAGAUUGGUGUCAAGUAAGACAUUACUAGCCUUUAUGUCCCGAUGCACGACACGGAUGGCAGACUCUUCAUGGAGGUAAGCAAGACCUCUUGCAAUGCCCAAGCAUAUCUCAAAGCGUGUUUGCCAGUCCAAGUUCAGUCUCCCACUACCUGCAAAUAAGUGUUUAUUUUUUAAUGUCCAUAUAACAAAUGUGACCCCCACCCCCACCCCGCACACACGCACACGCAAAUACACACAUUCAUAGUUGCACUAAUUGAAUGAACUCGUACCAAACAGUGCUUUAUCAAGGCUUCCAUUCUCCAGGUACUCAUAAACCAACAGCGGUUUAUUGCCCUCAAGGCAGCAACCAUACAACUUAACGAGAUUCCUGUGUUGCACUCGAGAAAUAGUUUCUAUUUCAGUUGCAAAUUCCUUUUUUCCCUGAUUAGAUGUUUCAGAUAGCUGUUUCACAGCCACCACCCUUCCAUCGCUUAAUUUACCCUGCAAGAAGAUGCCAUUUUAUCAACCAUGUGCAGAAACUAGAAAAUAAACAGGAAAACAAUAGAAAAAAGGGAAUGUAGUGGGAAAUGACCCCACUGGUGUGUAUAUAUUAAUAUUAUAUUAGUGAAAAUAAAUUAAAGGAGUUCACACCACCCAAAAUAUUGUUGAACUAACAAAGCUAGCUGAUUUUCCAUAACAAAACACACAAAUGGGACAUCCUUUAGCUUUGCGCAACUUAGAAAAGCUACUUUUAGAAGGAAAUUUGAUGGCAAAUUCAUAUCCUUGUGUACUUCUGAUGGACUAACCUUAUAAACUGAUCCGUAUCCCCCUUCGCCAAGAAGGUUAUUUGAACUGAAAUUUUCAGUAGCAGUCCUUAGUUCACCAUAACUGAGUACGUUAGGUCUUCCAACAAUACUGUACAGCUCUACAAACAUAGCCAAAAGACAACUUUAGAAAUAUGCCCCUUAUCUUGGUUAAGAUUUAAGAAUACACUGCGAUACUUGAUUAUGGCAUAUCAUGUACCUUGUUGCUCCAAUGCUAGUUUCCUCCUUUUCUGCCUCCACAUACAAAGUCCAGCAAGUGCUACUAGUACCAAAACUGCUGCACCAAUCACAACUCCAACAACUAUACCGGUUUUGUUACUACUAUUCUUAUGUGCAGCGCUACGCACUGUAGGUUUGAAAUCUGUCAGAAAGUGCACUAGUUAGAAAAAUGUGAUCUAACGGCUGAACCAGUACAUUUUACCUUACCCUUUUUAGGAGUUUUUCAAUAUUUACUAGUUUUUGUUUGAAGAGAGCGAAUUAUGUAUCCCGGGGUUCUAGCGCCCCCACUAACAAAAACAACAUGUUGUAAUGUUUCAAAAAUCUAAAAAAAUCAUGUAUUUAGCACACAUUAAAUUAAAUAAACCUGCAGAAAUUCAAUGUCAAAUUCAUCCUACAUGUCAGGGAAAAAUACGACUUGUGUUUUUUGAAUCUUGUUAUCAGAGAUGAAUUUAAAAUUGGAUUAUCAUAGUUUCACUAAUGGGGAUCAGAAUCAGAACCCCUGGUAACAAAUGAAUUUCCUAUAUCAGAAAGUGUGCAUGAGAACAUUCAGCAGAAAUCAGAAUGGAUAUGUACCACUAGACAUAAGUAUAUGUGUAUGCAUUCCUUCUAUCAUAAGCAUUUCUCAAAGUAGAAAUUAUAUAUGCAUCUUUUUACCCCAAGAAAAUUGUUUAAAAAGUAUUAAAACAAUGAUUUGUAGCUAAGGGGAGUACUUGGAGUUGCACUCAAAGCUGAAAUUGCAGGCCCAUAGUAGCCUUGACUAGGGAUGCAACAAGUGCCCUUGCCAGCCCAGAAAAGAUGAAUCUCAAGGAAGUUUCUGGUGACAGGAACAGUAUACUGCUUCUUGACAGCAGUGUAAGAUUUCCCGCCUGCUUCCUUUCUUAUGUCAAAGUUCUGCUCCUUACGCUCACCCUGUACCAAAAGCAAGAAAAAACAAUUAGAAAAUCUCAAUCAGCCCAUAAGCUAAAAACUCAAGUAAGUGUAAGUUAUCAGCAUGACUGGAACCUACCUGAACAUAGAUAUCAAAAACCCUUUUACCUAAACUCUUCCAGGUCUGCAUGUCUUCGAAGUCAAACUCUGCAAAUUGAAGUGUGACUGUAUAGUUUCCAUUCUCAAGUCCAAUGCCAUAGUAGCGUAAUGAUGAUGGAGACAUCCUUGCUGUCUGGAACAGUUCUGAAUCUAGAGUAUUCUGAAACUGGCGUGUGCUGUAGAUUAUGUAACUAUUAUUUGUUGCAUCCAUAAACCUCCCAACAUUGCUAACACCCCACGUUGGUGCUCCUGUAACAUAAUAGGAAGCAGGUCCCAGAUCGGCGCUGUCAGGCUGAUACAUGGAAUUAUCUGAGCCUGACAUAGAUCUCUGGCUCCCACAGUCCACAGCAAAGGAGGAAGCUGCAAGCAUGUUAAAUUAUUUAAUACUGAUGUUAUUUAGCGUAUCCUUAAAGUGCAAAAGUGGAAGCUCACAUUGUGGAGAGCCAAGAAAGCAGGGUGUGUCUCGCUGAAGGCACCCUAGCCCCGAAGGUAAGGCACUGAAGAUGUCAAACAUUGUCAAUUUGAAUCCAAAAUAUGAGCUGAGGCCUGAGAGAACAUAAAAAUUGUGCUUGAAGACUUUAAUGACCAAUUUGAAUACAAACUGACCUGUUAUUGGAGUUGUUGAUUACGAAAUUGUUCGCCACCAAAUUCCUAUGUAGAAUGAAACAUGCAAAAAAAGAUUAGAAGGCACUAUUGCGGAGAAUCAAGAGAAACCAAAGCAGGGACAAAAUUGAUUCAGUUUUUUAAGAUAAGCAGUAAGGUAAAGUACACAUCUGCUUGUUCAAAGAUUUUGAAUCAUAGAUGACGUCAAAUGCAAAAAGGAAAGAAAAAAAAGAAAAAAUAAAUAUGAUCUAGGUGCAGCAAAAGCAGCUUUUUAGAUGUAGUCGAUAUUAAAAAAAUGCUAGUUUAAUACAAGUGUAUGAUAUUGGAUUAUAGUAAUAGGGCUGAAUUUUUGGUCAGUUAAUCAGCUUGCAAAACUCAGCACUUACAAUUUCAAAUUCGGACUAACCCAGGAGGGAAAGUUUCCUGAUAGCUGGUUGUAGGAAAAGUCUCUACACAAAAGAAAGUGUGUAAAUGUUAUAGAUAAACGCCUUCCUGGUUUUACUUCACAAAUGAAAGUGGACAAACAUACAAGUUUUUAAGAGAAGUUCCUAUAGAACUUGGAAGGCUUCCUGAAAGACUAUUAUUCCCGAGAAACCUGGGCAGAUCAAAUUUGCGCAUUAGCAAGAUUGAUGAUCAUUGUCAUCAGAACCUAGAAAUAAGUAUCAGAAGGCAAGAUAAACCAUACAAGAAGCUGAGUGAAUUCAGAUUCAGCAGAGCUUGCGGUACUAGGCCAGUGAUAUUGUUAAAACUCAAAUCCCUGUAACAGUAGAACAAAUGAGACUAGGAGAGAAAGGGGUCAUCAAACAAUGCAUAAUCCACAGCAGUCCAUUAAAGCAUCUAGCAAAACAUGCAGUUGACUGGAGUUUAGGAAGAAACAAAAUGUCUUACAGUAGGGUUAAUGUUGCAAACUGUGAAAAGUUUACUGAUGCCAGGUUAUCAGAUAUCCUGCAGUUCCUCAAAACUCUGCAAUGAAACAUGUCAAGAGUUUUCGGAUUUAACAAUUGGUUACACUACAGAAAAUAUUAAGAUGUAGUUUGAGUCAUCAAAUGAAUGGCAAGUUAUGCAUACAAGGUGUUCAAAGAUGUCAUGUUACUGAUGAAUGCCAGUGAAGAACUUCCAUUUACUAUGUCACCUAUUCGUCUGCACCACAGAAAUAGAUAGUUCAUUCUUCCCAUCUGCAAACUUGAAAUUUAAGGAUGAUAGUACCUACUCUUUCCAUAAGUAGUCACUUACAAGUUUGUCAGUUCGACGAGAUUAGAAAGAGUGGUCGGAAGGGGACCUUGAAACGAAUUGCCUUGAAACCGCCUACAAAUUGAAAUUCUUGUUACUAUUUUUCAAGCAUCAUUUAUUUACCAAUGUGUUUACCUACUACCUAGUAAAGAAACAAGAAAGAUGGGACUUCUUAGGUAAAACAAGAAAUUUAUAAUGAAAAGCAUUAGAAAAAAGGUUCAAAGAUUACUAAUACUAGCAUCCAAAACGUAGCAUCGUAUUAUAAUGAAUAGUGAAACAAAAAGAUUUAAUAUUUACUAAUAUGAUAAUAACAGCUCACGCCUGACCUAAAUAAAUUAGUUAAGAGGCCACUAAAUGGAAAUCAGUAGAGUAAAAGACACAUACACUUUUCUUUCCUUUUUUUACUUGAACACACAGGAGAACUAUGUGCAUUGCAUUAAGAAGACGAAACUGUUGAAAAUUUAUAGCAGAUUUUCGAUCAUCACAUUCGUGCCCUUGAAUAUGUGGAUACUAUCAGACUUCUUGACUCUAUGCUCUAGUUGCUACUAAAGCCACUAAGUCCUUAGCACUGACAAGACACCAUAUGUGAGCUUCUUUCUCAGGCUCUCAGCAACCUGUAAUAGGCACUGGAGUGAAAGACCUAGACACUAAACCGAUGAACUCAUUUACAUAUGGCAACAAGUGAAGUAGGUAUAAAAUGAAUGUCCUACUUCAGUGCCAACUUAAGUUCUGAUAAAAAUAAAGAUUGACUUGUGGAGUGCUAUAGCUUGUUGUACCUGUACUAUUUGGCGUGAAAAAAAGGACCAAACAAUUAUGAAAAGGAAACAACAUAUGUUGCUAUUUUCAAUUAGGAAAUGAUUGCAAAUAAUGAAGAUUAAUUAAGAAAAAACUUAC